RNAcentral lists this microRNA precursor (109 nucleotides) under Sorghum bicolor (sorghum). Its description in RNAcentral is "MIR5565 microRNA precursor family". It matches the Rfam family "MIR5565 microRNA precursor family". The record is from Rfam by way of RNAcentral. Lineage: Eukaryota; Viridiplantae; Streptophyta; Magnoliopsida; Poales; Poaceae.
GUAGUCGUAUUCAUAUCAAUCCACAUGUGUUGAGGUGGAUUGGAGUGGAACUUGAAUUAAAUUCCACCCCAAUCCACACCAACACACAUGGAUUGAAGUAAAUACGACA